AGACCGGUGCACGGGUGCGUAACGCGUAUGCAAUCUACCUUUCACAGAGGGAUAGCCCAGAGAAAUUUGGAUUAAUACCUCAUAGUAUAUCGAGUUGGCAUCAACAUGAUAUUAAAGUCACAACGGCGAAAGAUGAGCAUGCGUCCCAUUAGCUAGUUGGUAAGGUAACGGCUUACCAAGGCAACGAUGGGUAGGGGUCCUGAGAGGGAGAUCCCCCACACUGGUACUGAGACACGGAUCAGACUCCUACGGGAGGCAGCAGUGAGGAAUAUUGGACAAUGGGCGCAAGCCUGAUCCAGUCAUGCCGUGUGCAGGAUGACGGUCCUAUGGAUUGUAAACUGCUUUUGUACAGGAAGAAACACCUCUACGUGUAGAGACUUGACGGUACUGUAAGAAUAAGGAUCGGCUAACUCCGUGCCAGUAGUCGCGGUAAUACGGAGGAUCCAAGCGUUAUCCGGAAUCAUUGGGUUUAAAGGGUCCGUAGGCGGUCAGAUAAGUCAGUGGUGAAAGCCCAUCGCUCAACGGUGGAACGGUCAUUGAUACUGUCUGACUUGAAUUAUUAGGAAGUAACUAUAAUAUGU
RNAcentral lists this ribosomal RNA (581 nucleotides) under Flavobacterium sp. RNAcentral's name for it is "bacterial SSU rRNA". It matches the Rfam family "Bacterial small subunit ribosomal RNA", at positions 92 to 671 of the family's 1533-position model. The record is from RNAcentral. Lineage: Bacteria; Pseudomonadati; Bacteroidota; Flavobacteriia; Flavobacteriales; Flavobacteriaceae.